GAUGAACGCUGGCGGCGUGCCUAAUACAUGCAAGUCGAGCGAACAGACGAGGAGCUUGCUCCUCUGACGUUAGCGGCGGACGGGUGAGUAACACGUGGAUAACCUACCUAUAAGACUGGGAUAACUUCGGGAAACCGGAGCUAAUACCGGAUAAUAUAUUGAACCGCAUGGUUCAAUAGUGAAAGACGGUUUUGCUGUCACUUAUAGAUGGAUCCGCGCCGCAUUAGCUAGUUGGUAAGGUAACGGCUUACCAAGGCAACGAUGCGUAGCCGACCUGAGAGGGUGAUCGGCCACACGGGAACUGAGACACGGUCCCGACUCCUACGGGAGGCAGCAGUAGGGAAUCUUCCGCAAUGGGCGAAAGCCUGACGGAGCAACGCCGCGUGAGUGAUGAAGGUCUUCGGAUCGUAAAACUCUGUUAUUAGGGAAGAACAAAUGUGUAAGUAACUAUGCACGUCUUGACGGUACCUAAUCAGAAAGCCACGGCUAACUACGUG
RNAcentral lists this ribosomal RNA (497 nucleotides) under uncultured bacterium. RNAcentral describes it as "partial 16S ribosomal RNA". It matches the Rfam family "Bacterial small subunit ribosomal RNA", at positions 28 to 507 of the family's 1533-position model. The record is from RNAcentral.